RNAcentral lists this unclassified non-coding RNA (1315 nucleotides) under Hevea brasiliensis (rubber tree). Lineage: Eukaryota; Viridiplantae; Streptophyta; Magnoliopsida; Malpighiales; Euphorbiaceae. The record is from RNAcentral.
AUUGUUUUGGAUAUAUGAUUGGCAUUACCUUAUUGAUGAAAUUAUGUGUUGGAGACAUUUUAGCACAAGGUUGGAACUUGGAACUUGCUUGCUUUUUUUCCAUUUUUUCGGGGAUGUAGCCAGGUUGCUUUCUUCGUACCACGUCAAUGUUUUUCUGGACUUGCCUAUUUUUAUUCAUUGAAAACAAAAAAGAUAAAAGGUAAAUCAAGAAACAUGUUGUACAUAAGAUGGGGAAAAGAAAGGCAACUUAGCUCAGAACAUACUUCCAAGAAGAGGCAAAUUGAUGAUAUUUACGAGAUCUCUGACUAUUCUGUCUAUGAACAGAAUAUGGGAAUGACUUUGGCUUAUCUGUAUAUUAUAAUAGCUAUGUUUUUAGAUGAGAAAUUGCCACUAUAUUUUGUAAACCUUAUUGAAUGGCAACUCUUCCUACUUGCCCACCUUUGAUUAUAAUGAUAUAGUUCUGAAAAAUGACAUUAUGGAUAACUUUAUUUGAUAAAAAAUUUGGUCAAGGAACCUUUUGUGAAAUUGAGAUGGACAUCUGUGUAUGGUUGCUAGAAUUAGUGGAAGAAGACCCAGACAAAAAGUUGAAAUUUGAGUGAGUAAGGAGGUUGGAUCCCACUAAUGCUUUGUUCGUCUUUUUUCCACCUGCCUUUUUUGGAAUAAAUUUAUCUGCUUAAAAGUAAAAAAUUUCAGUGGUCUGAAGUAAUUUUCUGACUUCUCCUUCCAUUUUGAAUUACCUAAACCACUCAUUUACCUCAUUUAAAGGAUGAAUUAGAUUACCUCACUUGUUCUUUUUUUGUUGACUGGAUGGGCACAAAAGGUUUUGCCCUUCUAUCAUUUGGAUGAAUAAAUAAGUGAUAGGGAGGGAAAGGAAUGGAAGAUUAUUUAAUCUUCUUUUCCUCGUAUGUUACUUGAAAAGAAGUGUAAAUUUUAUACAUUGUAGUGUGUCACAUAAUUACUCAAUUCGCCAAGAAUGUGAAGGAAUGGAAAGCAACUGAAGUUUUUUCUCCUAUUUAAAAUCUCCUCUUUGAUUUGUAUGCAACGUAGAUGUGUUGGUUUAGGAUGUUUAGUUGUAUGGUCGUAAUGGUGGUGCUGACCAAUAUAAUGGUAAGACAUGGUGUUGAUCUGGGUCUGUGCCCUGUGGUUACCAAUGUUGUUUUUUUAAAAAAAGUUUUGGGGCUAGUACUUUUCCUCUGAGAUAUCAGGUGUUUAAUGCAACCAUGAUUUUGUUAUGACUGGUAGCCAAAGUAGUUUGAUAACAAUUCAGGAUCAUGACAAACAUGUUUCAAUGUGAAGAUAAGUGCAGAAAAGAAAU